GACGUAGGGAGCGAGCGUUGUCCGGAAUUACUGGGCGUAAAGAGCUCGUAGGCGGGACCGUAAGUCCGAGAGGAAAUCUCAAGGCUCAACUUUGGGGCUUUCUUGGAUACUGCGGUUCUGAGGAUGAGAGAGGUAAGUAGAAUUCCCGGUGUAGCGGUGAAAUGCGUAGAUAUCGGGAGGAAUACCAGUGGCGAAGGCGGACUUACUGGCUCAUUCCUGACGCUGAGGAGCGAAAGCGUGGGGAGCAAACGGG
RNAcentral lists this ribosomal RNA (253 nucleotides) under uncultured bacterium. Its description in RNAcentral is "partial 16S ribosomal RNA". It matches the Rfam family "Bacterial small subunit ribosomal RNA", at positions 524 to 776 of the family's 1533-position model. The record is from RNAcentral.